RNAcentral lists this long non-coding RNA (252 nucleotides) under Cucumis sativus (cucumber). Its description in RNAcentral is "long non-coding RNA (CSAT_LNC000993)". The record is from RNAcentral. Lineage: Eukaryota; Viridiplantae; Streptophyta; Magnoliopsida; Cucurbitales; Cucurbitaceae.
UUUUUGUUUAGGUUGGUUCUUUUUACCUUUUCUUUUCCACCCCCUAGGCGGAGGAAAAAAUGGGCACCAGCUUUUCUUAAUGCGUGAAGAUUUGUUUUAUUUAACAUUUUCUACAAUGCUUCUCAAUCUCUACCCUUAACAUUGUUAGUUCAUGAAAUGAAGCCAGGCUGAUUAGAAUAGAACUUCUAAUAAACCUAAUGGAAGGCAAAUAACAGAAAACAAAGUACCAGACCUUCAUUCUAAUAAAUAAAG